This 61-nucleotide transfer RNA is filed under the name Pseudocellus gertschi. RNAcentral's name for it is "tRNA-Tyr". The record is from RNAcentral. Lineage: Eukaryota; Metazoa; Arthropoda; Arachnida; Ricinulei; Ricinoididae.
UGUGGCUGAUUAAGGUGGUAAAUUGUAGAUUUAUUAAUAGGGUGACCUCAUUGCUAGGUAA